CGCACGACUCUCGGCAAUGGAUAUCUCGGCUCUCGCAUCGAUGAAGAACGUAGCGAAAUGCGAUACCUGGUGUGAAUUGCAGAAUCCCGUGAACCACCGAGUCUUUGAACGCAAGUUGCGCCCGAGGCCACCCGACCGAGGGCACGCCUGCCUGGGCGUCACGC
RNAcentral lists this ribosomal RNA (164 nucleotides) under Elaeis guineensis (African oil palm). RNAcentral's name for it is "5.8S ribosomal RNA". It matches the Rfam family "5.8S ribosomal RNA". From Rfam's summary of the family: 5.8S ribosomal RNA (5.8S rRNA) is a component of the large subunit of the eukaryotic ribosome. It is transcribed by RNA polymerase I as part of the 45S precursor that also contains 18S and 28S rRNA. The record is from RNAcentral. Lineage: Eukaryota; Viridiplantae; Streptophyta; Magnoliopsida; Arecales; Arecaceae.